Molecule: ribosomal RNA, 350 nt
Filed under: uncultured bacterium
Lineage: Bacteria
Description: bacterial SSU rRNA
Rfam family: Bacterial small subunit ribosomal RNA
Source: RNAcentral
GGGGGAAUAUUGCACAAUGGGCGAAAGCCUGAUGCAGCCAUGCCGCGUGAGUGAUGACGGCCUUCGGGUUGUAAAGCUCUUUUAACAGGGAAGAUAAUGACGGUACCUGUAGAAUAAGCCCCGGCUAACUUCGUGCCAGCAGCCGCGGUAAUACGAAGGGGGCUAGCGUUGUUCGGAAUUACUGGGCGUAAAGAGUACGUAGGCGGAUUGCCAAGUCAGAUGUGAAAUCCCGGGGCUCAACCCCGGAACUGCAUUUGGAACUGGCAGUCUAGAGAAAGUUAGAGGCAAGUGGAAUUUCUUGUGUAGGGGUGAAAUCCGUAGAUAUAAGAAGGAAUAUCAAUAGCGAAGGC